GAGACAAAGCAAAGCAGAGAAACCGGCUCUCUGAGACUGACACCUGAGAUCAACAACCAGCUAAACACUCCCUUUGUUUCCUUUUUGAGCCGCCUCACUAUUCCCUUUACUGGACAUCCCCAAAAGAUUGUUCAGUUCUUAAAUCCCUUGUGUGGUGGUAAGAGGUCUGGGAAGUUUCUGGAGGGAAGAAGUGGUUUCUGUGGGUGUGAUCUGGUGGACACCCAACGGGAAGCCUCUUUGGAAAGCCCACGAAGCCCCCGUGGGCUCUUGCCAGGUCCUCUGCCCUCUUGUUCCCAGUCUACUGCUGAGUCCACACUUAGCAUCCACUCACUUCGACUCCCAAGAAGACUGGCCCUUCAGAAGAGACAGGAAAACAUCUGUGAGGGGAAUCCCUCAACUCCAGGUGGAUGGGACCAUGUGACGAGUUCUUGCCGGUGGAUUGUAAGCAGAAGUGAUAACGCAUCACUUCCAGGCAGAAGUGGUUAAGGAGCAAGUGAGUCUUCUUGCUCUCUUCUUCUCUUGCUAUCACCUCCAUGCAGAUGGACUUAUUGACCUUGGGAACUCUGUGUUGGAGAUGGUGAAGCCAGAAGAUGGAACUAACCUCGUGCUUCAAAUGCUGCUUGGAGAACAGUUUCUGCCCUUGAGGAACACCUAUUUUGGUGUUCAUAUGAGCAAGAAGUAAACUUCUCUUGUAUUUGUGCCAUUAUACUUAUUGGAUAUCAAAUCACUCAUGACAGUGAGUGAUUUGAAUCCGGAAAACACCCAACAGCUGGAGAGAGAGCACUGGAGGCUGUGCUUCACGCAGGGCCUGGCUGGCACGCAGGCGAUACUGCAUUCUGUGAAGAGUUCCUGUAUGCUUGUCCUGCAUGUUAAAGAGGUAGCAGAACAUGUAUUCAGUAGUCUUGCCUUCUGAUAAUCCUCUUGACCAAAACUUUCAGGAUAGGCAGAAAAUUCCUCUACUGCGGUGAUAGUCUCUUAACAGCCACUAGAAAAAUGAAAAAGUAUUUCAUAACCUAGAGGAAAUUAGAGUAUGUAUAAUUUUACAAUAGCUUACUCCAUUUCUCUUUGUGAACGUAAUAUUUUGUGUUUCUCUGAGUCUGAGUCUAAAUAGUUUACAAAGACUCUAUAUAUAUAUACAUUUUAGACAGAGUCUUGCUCUGUCAUCCAGGCUGGAGUGCAGUGGUACCACCUUGGUUCUCUGCAACCUCCAUCUCCCAGGUUCAAGCAAUUCUCCUGCCUCAACCUCCUGAGUAGCUGGGAUUACAGGUAUCCACCACCACGCCCAGCUAAUUUUUGUAUUUUUAGUAAAGACAGGGGUUUCACCAUGUUGGCCAGGCUGAUCUUGAACUCUUGACCUCGGGUGAUCUGCCCGCCUCGGCCUCCCAAAGUGCUGGGAUUACAGGUGUGAGCCCCUGCACUCAGCCUACAAAGUACUUCUAUAUGUAACAUACAUCACUUGACUCUACAAACAAUUUUGGUGAUAGGAAAGCAGGAAAUAAUUGCCCCCAUCUCACAGACGAAAACAUACAGGUUUCGUGGAAUUUAGUAAUUUAAAGUUUAUACCAGGAGUGGCAGAACCAGUCCUUGAAUCGCACAACUUUAAAGCCCAAGUCUGUUUCUCCUCUGAGCUUGUUAGGUCUGAGUUUUGUUUGCUGCUGUAUUUUCAGCACCAGCCUGAAAUGUAAAAGGGUCUACUAAAUGGGCUGGUGCGGUGGCUCACGCCUGUAAUCCCAGCACUUUGGGAGGCCGAGGCGGGCGGAUCACGAGGUCAGGAGAUCGAGACCAUCCUGGUUAACACGGUGAAACCCCGUCUCUACUAAAAAUACAAAAAAAUUAGCCGGGCGUGGUGGCGGGCGCCUGUAGGCCCAGCUACUCGGGAGGCUGAGGCAGGAGAAUGGUGUGAAUCCGGGAGGCGGAGCUUGCGAUAAGCCGAGAUGGCGCAACUGCACUCCAGCCUGGGUGACAGCGAGACUCCGUUUCAAAAAAAAAAAAAGGUCUAAUAAAUGAAGAUCCUUACUGCUUCUCCUGGUUUUGGCUGAAGUCCCCACUGUCUUUGCUACAGGAAAAUGCCUACUUUGGUUUUUUUUGUUUUUUUUUUUCCAUCCAGUGUUGGAGCAGUAACAGUGGACUUGAGCUUUGAGUCAAUUAAGGUGAUGUUAGAAAGUGGAAAAUGGAGUGGUUCGCAUUCUGCUGAUUAAAGAGUGUUUUUUGGAUUUAAUGAGACUUAAAACAUUUUCCAGGGAAUUCAAAACUCCCUUGGAAUUAUAAGAAUUAUGAAACAUAUUUUGAGCAGCAUGAUGACAAUACGGCAUAGUUAAGCAUUAAAUGAAAUAAAAAUAUCCACAACCAUUUUUGCCUGUCUAAAGAUAGGAGAGUAUCUGAAAAACAAAAGAGACCAAAAUGCACCUAGAUUUUCAGGGAAAGAAAGUCCUUAUCAAUAAAGCAUCAAAUCCUAAGUAGAUGAGUGGGCUCUGUUUUACUUCUUUCUUUAU
RNAcentral lists this long non-coding RNA (2492 nucleotides) under Papio anubis (olive baboon). RNAcentral describes it as "lncRNA (ENSPANG00000041223.1)". Lineage: Eukaryota; Metazoa; Chordata; Mammalia; Primates; Cercopithecidae. The record is from RNAcentral.